RNAcentral lists this ribosomal RNA (253 nucleotides) under uncultured bacterium. Its description in RNAcentral is "partial 16S ribosomal RNA". It matches the Rfam family "Bacterial small subunit ribosomal RNA", at positions 524 to 776 of the family's 1533-position model. The record is from RNAcentral.
UACGUAGGGGGCAAGCGUUGUCCGGAUUUAUUGGGCGUAAAGCGUGUGUAGGCUGCUACAUAAGUCGGAUGUGAAAGCCCCGGGCUCAACCCGGGAAGUGCACUCGAUACUGCGUAGCUUGAGUCUCGGAGAGGUUGGUGGAAUUCUCGGUGUAGAGGUGAAAUUCGUAGAUAUCGAGAGGAACACCGGUGGCGAAGGCGGCCAACUGGACGAAGACUGACGCUGAGACACGAAAGCGUGGGGAGCAAACAGG